This 65-nucleotide transfer RNA is filed under the name Parapolybia nodosa. Its description in RNAcentral is "tRNA-Ile". The record is from RNAcentral. Lineage: Eukaryota; Metazoa; Arthropoda; Insecta; Hymenoptera; Vespidae.
AAUGAUGUGCCUGAAAAAGGAUUAUUUUGAUAGAAUAAAUCAUAUAAAUUAAAUUAUCUUCAUUA